RNAcentral lists this small nucleolar RNA (174 nucleotides) under Leersia perrieri. RNAcentral's name for it is "snoRNA snoZ112". It matches the Rfam family "Small nucleolar RNA Z112". From Rfam's summary of the family: Z112 is a member of the C/D class of snoRNA which contain the C (UGAUGA) and D (CUGA) box motifs. Most of the members of the box C/D family function in directing site-specific 2'-O-methylation of substrate RNAs. Lineage: Eukaryota; Viridiplantae; Streptophyta; Magnoliopsida; Poales; Poaceae. The record is from Rfam by way of RNAcentral.
UUCCCAGUGAGGAAUCCAAGACCUACUGAUAGUAAGUGUCGUAUGAUGCUGUAAACAGCAGCUGCUUUUCUCCUUUGCAAGGUGUCCAUCCUUCGACCAUCACCUUGUUGGUUUGGUCUGGGUUGGAGUACUCAUUUGCUUGCGUGUGUGAUUUUAAAUGGGUUUCCUAGGGAU